CACCUCGCAGGGGCCCUCAGGGGGUAGAAGUGAGAGUUCUGGCCUGGAGGACCGGGUCUCAUUUCCUGCGGGACAUCCUACAGGUCGCUUCCCUCCGUGGGCCUCAGUUUCCCCAUCUGGCAGCCGAGCUCGUCACACCGGGACAGGCACGCUUGAAACCAGCCACCAUGCUGUAAGGAAGCCCAAGCCCUGCGGAGAGAUGACGUGACGCAUUCUGGCUGACGUCUCCAGUUAGGGCUCUCAGUUCACAACCAGCAUCACUCAGAUAGGUGAUGAACUGACAUCAUCCCAGCUGCCAGCCUCUGAGUCUUCUAGCCAAAGUCCCAGACGUGGAGCAGAGACAAGCCAACCUUGCCGUACCCUGUCUGAAUUUCUCUCCCACAGAAACUGAGAGAUAAGAAGCGAUCAUUAUUGUUUUAAGCCAGUGGGAGAUGGAGUGACCACCAACAACAUGCAUUCCUAAGGUGGUCUGAUGGAGUGUGGGGCUCCAGCGAGGAAGUGGAGCCCUGGGCAGGAGGCAUCUCAUCAGGGAGACAGUCUGUUAUCUGAGAAAGCCAAGGCUUCCUGUUGGGCUCCCCUUGGGCAAAUGCCUGGCAUGGACAAAGGAAGAUGAUGAAAUAACAACCAUGAUGAAUGGCCACUGAAUGCUUUGCACACGCUGAAGAGCUUUCUGUGGAUUAUUUCACUGAAACCUCAGAGCAACUCUAUGAGGUCCCAGCUUUGUGGUCCUGGCCAGUAGUGGAUCCUUGAAACCUUCAGAUUGGGCACUGUCCUUGGCCACAAUACUCUCUGUUGAAGACUUUAUCCCCUCUCACAGGGAAGAACAAAGAGGGGUGAGGAAGAAAGAGAACUCAAUCCUGCUGAGCUUUGAGCCGAAUAAGCCUCUACUUGUUGUGGUCCAUUGGAAAAUAGAGUCCUGUUCCUUAAUAGAGUCGUAUAGCUUGGGAAACUGAGACCCAGGAGGCAGGAGAGGCCCCAUGUAGGCGAUGACACCAAACACUGAGCCCGUGGGCUCCACUGCCUUGGGGACAAACAUCACGGCCGUGACACUCAUGUCAUGCUCCAGCCUCUAACAUUGCCAGCCUCUGGCUGCCAGCCUUUCGAUGAUGUAGGAUUUAGAGCCAAAAAACAUUAUGUCAGCUGCUCAGUGGCAUCCAUUAUCACAUUACCACAAAUAACUUAAUCAAGUACUAUAAAUUUAAAUGUGUUUUUCUCAUCUUAAUAUUUCCAGAAUUAGAAUGCAACUUAGAAGAGAUAAGUACAUUUGAUAUAUUGCUUUAGUUAAGAAAACUUUUAUGGAAUUGAUGGCAUGUGUUAUAAUUGUUGGUGUCUUAGAAUUGAGAGAAUGUGGUGCUAAGGCUCUAAAAGAAUGGGGACACUGCACAGGUACAUUUUGAUAGAUGAUAAGGAGCUUAGGAAAUGUGAAAAUGAGGAUAAAUUCAUAAGCACUGAAUAAUCAUAACUGAUACUACUUACUGGGUGCUUAUUUUGUGCCAAUUAUACAUUUUCUCUAAUUCUUAAAUAAUCCCCACAGGAAGAUAAUGUGAUUUUAGUCAUUUUAAACCUAUGUAUAUGAUAGUCUCCACACUGUGGCCUUUUUCUUGAGUAACAGCUUUAUUGAGAUAUAAUUCACAUGCCAUGAAAUUCACCUUUUUAAAGAGUACAAUUGAGUAGAUUUUAGGAUAUUCACGGGGUUGUGCCUAUAGUCUCUUUACCUGAAUUUCUUGGGGAUCUGAACUUAUCAUCUCUUAUAUCUGCCAUCAUUCUCUCAUAGUGUACUAUUUCCUUGUGAGUUUUAUAAUUUUGGAUUGUGAGCUUAUCUUUAGUGACAUUUUAUGUGUGGAAAUCCUCUAUCAAUUGGAUCGAGCAAUUGGAUCCCCAUCCUCCAGAGGGGGACCUGACUCACAGGUUCCAGUGAGGGAAUUGGUGGCUUCGCUGCCUGGACCUCAGCAUACAUGUGGCUACUGAGGAAUGCCAAAGACCAUAAAGCCUUGUGCACAUAUUUGGAUUGUUGUCAGCAGCCCCAGUGGCCCCUCCACGCUGGGGGACAAGUUCCCCGAGCGCAGGGGCUUAUCUUACUUUGCUCACCACUGCUCCUCUUGUGUCUAUAUCAGUGCCAGCUUUGGUAGGUGUCCAAUAGGUAGCCGUUAGAGAAAUUAGUCAUCCCUUGGAGAUUACAACAGGACGUCUUUGGGUACCAUUAUUCGGCCAACCUCAGAAGGGGUCUUAUGAUCUUUUCAACUUUCUUAACAUUCUAGAAAAAGAGACAGAAGUCCAAUGAGGCCUCCUGGCAUGUAGCCUCAUCUUCUUUCCAUCCUACCUACUACCUUGGAAAGGAGGGGCAAGGUUGGUGGAGACAGAGUUCUAGCAGGAGUUGCUGUGGGAAAUGCCAGUUCACUCAGAGGUAUCCAGUAGUCCUCAAUCUGGAUACCUAAGCCAAGGAUGGAAAGAGCGAUGGCUCUGUUCACUUUACAAGUAUUUAUCGAGCGCCUUUUGUGUACCGCGUGUUAUGCUGAGCUCAGCCACGAGGGGAGUAAGACCCAACACCUGUUAUAUGUUGGGAGAGAGGCACAAGCUUUGGAAUAGGACAGGUGUUGAGUUUGAAUCCAUUUCCUCUACUUAUGUCCUAUAUGACCCUGGUUAAAUUAAUCUCAGCAAUAAUUUCUUUAUUCAUAAAAUAGCAAUUGUCAUUCAUUCUUUAUAUUACAUGGUGAGCAUCAAAAAAUUCUGCUUUGGUUUUUCCCUAAUCCUGGAACCAGCACUUAAUUGUGUGACUUUGUAACUGGCAGGCCUCCUGGGUCUCAGUUGACUUCCCUUUGGAAUAGGGAUUUCACUCCAAGCGAGAGACUGGAGAACACUUGCUAAGCACUUUCCUCCUCAGCUCUGGCCACUUUUGCAAGAGCAGGAGUCUGUAAAUAGCCAGAUGCAAGUGGGCCUGGGGUGCUCCUGGGCCCUACCUGUCUGCCUCAAGGGUGAAGGGGAGGUUUCACUGUGUGUAUGUAACCCAUUGGCGCCCCUGGCACCCAGGUUGGAAAGUUCCACUUUGGAAGGCUGUAGGAGGACUAAAUGACAUGAUCUAUGGCAGUGUUUCUUAACAACCACACCACUAAUGUUUUAAGCUAGAUAACUCUUUGUCGUGGGUAUUGUUCUGUACUUGGUAGAAUGUUUCACGGUGUCUCUGGUUUCUACCCACUAGAUGCCAGUAGCAACUCCCAGUUGUGACAAUCAAAACUGGUUUUAGGCAUUGCCAGAUAUCCUCUGGGGGACAAAAUAGUUGCUGGUUGAGUUAUAUGGAAAAGCACUCUGUAAGGCUAAAUGUGUGAGCUAUCAUCCUUGUAAUGAAUUACUAUUACUAUAGUGCCAAAUGCUGACAAUAUGCUACCUUUGAGGCAGUGCGUGAACAUUUUUUUAAAAUGGGGCCUGAGUGGGGAAGGGGCAGAGAGAGUGGGAGACACAGAAUCCAAAGCGGGCUCCAGGCUCUGAGCUGUUGGCACAGAGCCCAAUGCGGGGCACGAACUCACCAACUGCAAGAUCAUGACCUGGGCUGAAGUCAGACACUUAACCUACUGAGCCACCCAGGCGUCCCAGAAUUUAACACAUUAACCAAAGCCCUAUGGAGACAAUCUGAGAUCAAGUUUAAAUGGGGAAAUUUGAGAAAACCUUAGCAAACAGGCAAGGAGAGUGCUUUAAAACAGCUGGACAGCACGUUGUCUGCAGCAGACUAGGCUGAAAGGGACAAGAGACCCUGUUCUGGUCUCAGCUGCCUCGCCACCUGCUGGGCGGCCCCAGGCAAGUCCCUCUCCUCUUGAGCCUCCGUUUCCUCACUCGAUGGACUCUGAGAUCCCAGAGCAGAUGUCCGUCUGCUCUGACCAUCAAAACGACCACAGAUCGGGGAGCGAGGUCCUCCAGCAGGAUCUGGGAAGAUGGCCUAUCUCUCUGUGGCAGUUGGGAAUGGGGCACGAUUUGGAGCCAAGGUGGAUCCACGUGGAUAAAGGGUCGCCAAAGCUAAUUAAAGAUCAGUCGUGGCCCUGCACCCCAUGGCAGAAGACAUGGCCUUCCUAGGCUUGGUGGGGUUUUUUGUUUUUGUUUUUUUCUUAAAAAAAGCUACUUAAAACCAAACAGAGUAUAACUGUUUCUGCUUUCUAGGGAGGAAAGAAUCAUUCAAAUGAGUAAGGAAAUAAAGCUCUCUAUUCCUUUCUUCCUCUAGCUAAGACCUGUGAGAGGAAGAGGAGAAAGACAGAAAGGUCCAAACACCUGCCGUGUUUUCUGUGGCUGAGCAGUGAGGCCUGUAGUAACUAACUGGUCUUUGCAGAGCCCAGCAGAGGGCUUCAGAGGGUCAGGUGAGCCCAGAGCAAGGACAACCAGGGGCCUAGAUCAUCCUGCACAAUAAAUUGAGGGAGUUGAGUUUCUGAGGGAACUUGAGAGGAAAGGCAGAUGGGAGAAAAGGGCACCAGAGUGUCAUGAGGGUCACAUCGGGUUGCUGAUGUGACCAAAUAAAACUCCUCCAAACUUCCAAAAAUGUUUGCUAUGCACCAAAAUGACUGCCUGUGCCUGCAGUGGUUGAGAGGGUGGCUAUUUAGGAAAUGGAGCUGGACAGCAAGGCCAGCCCGAGAGUGUUCGAUUCCUGAGGCUGCUACAAAUGAGGGGGCUUAAACAACAGAAAUUUAUUCUCUCACAGCUGUGGAGGACAGGAGUCCCUAGUCAAGGUGUCAGCAGAGCCAUGCUCUUUCUGAAGGCUCUAGGGAAGAAUCUUUCCCUCCCAGCUCUUCAUUUCUGGUGGCUGCUGGCAACCCUUGGCACUCCUUGGCUGACUCUGAUCUGUUUCUGUCGCCACAUGGCUUUCUUCUCUGCAUGUCUGUGUCCCUGUGGAUCCUCUCCUCUUCUUACAGGGACAUCAGUUGCAUAGGAUCUAGGGUACCCCCAAUCCAGUAUGACUUUAUUUUGACUAAUUACAUCUGGAAAGACCCGAUUUCCAAAUAAGUUCAUAUUCUGAGGUUCCAGGCGGACAUGCACUUUUGGGAGGCACGCUAUUCAGCCCAGUUCACGAAAUGAGAGGCACUGUGAUCCGUAAGUGGAAUCCUGGGGAAAGCAGAAUGACCCCAGGCCCUUCCCCCACCCCCAUCCUUGCAUCACAUGCAUGCAGGGUGUGGCCUUGCACCUGUGUAGUGGACUUUGGAGCAGGUGAUUCAUGCCCAGAGUUCUUUUCAGAUGACUGCUGCACAGUUAAUGGCUUGCACUAACCAGCUCCCGUGGCCUUCCAUCCAAGGGUCCUGCUGGUCCCGGGCAAAGCAUCCUCUUGUUUGCAGUAUGUAUUAAUAGUGAGUAUUUGUUGUCUGUGGUCUCUGCCCUGGGCUUCCAGUUCCCUUCUUUGAGUACAUAGCUCUUGGAUCCCCUUUUGGAGAUGUGUCCUCCUUACUCUUAGUCUACAUAGGGCCCCAUCCGAGGCUUCCGAGCCUGGUCAAUAAACAUAUUCAAUCCCCCUGGUCACAAAGGUGGAUGGGCACAUGCUUCAAAUUAAUGCAAUCACAGUGAUUCCCUGAACUUGUACAGAAAAGGAGAAUUCUUUCUUCUAGUUUUGAACCUGCAACCCUGCAGUUUGGACCUCUAGCAGCCACUUUGCCAUUGUGAGGUCAGAACUUCCCAGAGAAUGGACCUCACAUAGAAAAAGUGGAAUCAAAAGAUCAACAGAGAGAAAUUGGGGUUUGAUGUUCUCAGUAGCCCCUAGAUCAAGCCUUGCCUGAAGCUCUACUAUUGGUCUUUUUAGUUAUCUGAGUCAUUAAAUUACCACCACCUCUCUUCCUUACUUUGCUUGAGCCAUGAGUUUGAGUCAUAUUUUCUGUCACUAGUACAGAAAGUUUAUUAAUUAUAAUUGACUUAGAAUGGAUCCACCAGACUGGGCUUUAUAAUUUGUUUGGUUGGAAUGCUUCUUUUUGUUUAUCUAUGGAACAACCCAGAUUAAGAAGUGGAUGGCAUGCCCCUGUGGAGUGUCAUUGCAGGCCCCUGGUAGAGUAGAGUAGAGCCUUCAUCAGAUAUAUAUUUUUUAAGUUUAUUUAUUUAUUUGGAGAGAGAGAGGAGGGGCAGAGAAAGAGA
Acinonyx jubatus (cheetah) is the source of this 6090-nucleotide long non-coding RNA. RefSeq lists it as uncharacterized. Lineage: Eukaryota; Metazoa; Chordata; Mammalia; Carnivora; Felidae. The record is from RefSeq and is a predicted model, not a curated record. The transcript is spliced from 6 exons.